RNAcentral lists this ribosomal RNA (475 nucleotides) under uncultured organism. RNAcentral's name for it is "partial 16S ribosomal RNA". It matches the Rfam family "Bacterial small subunit ribosomal RNA", at positions 331 to 797 of the family's 1533-position model. The record is from RNAcentral.
GUACACUCCUGCGGGAGGCAGCAGUGGGGAAUUUUGGACAAUGGGCGAAAGCCUGAUCCAGCAAUGCCGCGUGAGUGAAGAAGGCCUUCGGGUUGUAAAGCUCUUUUGUCAGGGAAGAAACGGUGAGAGCUAAUAUCUUUUGCUAAUGACGGUACCUGAAGAAUAAGCACCGGCUAACUACGUGCCAGCAGCCGCGGUAAUACGUAGGGUGCAAGCGUUAAUCGGAAUUACUGGGCGUAAAGCGUGCGCAGGCGGUUUUGUAAGUCUGAUGUGAAAUCCCCGGGCUCAACCUGGGAAUUGCAUUGGAGACUGCAAGGCUAGAAUCUGGCAGAGGGGGGUAGAAUUCCACGUGUAGCAGUGAAAUGCGUAGAUAUGUGGAGGAACACCGAUGGCGAAGGCAGCCCCCUGGGUCAAGAUUGACGCUCAUGCACGAAAGCGUGGGGAGCAAACAGGAUUAGAUACCCCGGUAGUCCCA